GGUGAGUUGGCAGAGUGGUCGAAUGCGCUACCUUGGAAAGGUAGUUAUGUGCAAACAUACAUGGGUUCGAAUCCCAUACUCACCU
Molecule: transfer RNA, 85 nt
Filed under: Gammaproteobacteria bacterium
Lineage: Bacteria; Pseudomonadati; Pseudomonadota; Gammaproteobacteria
Description: tRNA-Ser
Rfam family: tRNA
About the family: Transfer RNA (tRNA) molecules are approximately 80 nucleotides in length.
Source: RNAcentral